RNAcentral lists this ribosomal RNA (450 nucleotides) under uncultured bacterium. RNAcentral describes it as "partial 16S ribosomal RNA". It matches the Rfam family "Bacterial small subunit ribosomal RNA", at positions 354 to 796 of the family's 1533-position model. The record is from RNAcentral.
GUGGGGAAUAUUGGACAAUGGGCGAAAGCCUGAUCCAGCCAUGCCGCGUGUGUGAAGAAGGUCUUCGGAUUGUAAAGCACUUUAAGUUGGGAGGAAGGGCAGUAAGUUAAUACCUUGCUGUUUUGACGUUACCAACAGAAUAAGCACCGGCUAACUUCGUGCCAGCAGCCGCGGUAAUCCGAAGGGUGCAAGCGUUAAUCGGAAUUACUGGGCGUAAAGCGCGCGUAGGUGGUUUUGUAAGUUGGAGGUGAAAUCCCCGGGCUCAACCUGGGAACUGCCUACAAAACUGCAUGACUAGAGUACGGUAGAGGGUAGUGGAAUUUCCUGUGUAGCGGUGAAAUGCGUAGAUAUAGGAAGGAACACCAGUGGCGAAGGCGACUACCUGGACUGAUACUGACACUGAGGUGCGAAAGCGUGGGGAGCAAACAGGAUUAGAUACCCGAGUAGUCC